Molecule: ribosomal RNA, 491 nt
Filed under: Bacillus licheniformis
Lineage: Bacteria; Bacillati; Bacillota; Bacilli; Caryophanales; Bacillaceae
Description: bacterial SSU rRNA
Rfam family: Bacterial small subunit ribosomal RNA
Source: RNAcentral
UUUAAUACAUGCCGUCGAGCGGACCGACGGGAGCUUGCUCUUUUAGGUCAGCGGCGGNCGGGUGAGUAACACGUGGGUAACCUGCCUGUAAGACUGGGAUAACUCCGGGAAACCGGGGCUAAUACCGGAUGCUUGAUUGAACCGCAUGGUUCAAUCAUAAAAGGUGGCUUUUAGCUACCACUUACAGAUGGACCCGCGGCGCAUUAGCUAGUUGGUGAGGUAACGGCUCACCAAGGCGACGAUGCGUAGCCGACCUGAGAGGGUGAUCGGCCACACUGGGACUGAGACACGGCCCAGACUCCUACGGGAGGCAGCAGUAGGGAAUCUUCCGCAAUGGACGAAAGUCUGACGGAGCAACGCCGCGUGAGUGAUGAAGGUUUUCGGAUCGUAAAACUCUGUUGUUAGGGAAGAACAAGUACCGUUCGAAUAGGGCGGUACCUUGACGGUACCUAACCAGAAAGCCACGGCUAACUACGUGCCAGCAGCCCGGG